Molecule: long non-coding RNA, 1719 nt
Filed under: Citrus x clementina
Lineage: Eukaryota; Viridiplantae; Streptophyta; Magnoliopsida; Sapindales; Rutaceae
Description: Citrus clementina (C. clementina) long non-coding RNA (CCLE_LNC000797)
Source: RNAcentral
AAAAGAAAUAUGUUGCCAAGGACAACAAGAGGAAAAUUCACUAGGUGAAAAAUUAUUACAAUCACUCUACUAUUUUUUUUUUUACACCCAAAGCCCCAAUAAAACACUCAAUUUAUCAAUAGACUUACUGUUUCUUUCACGUUAGAAAUUGUCUACUUGUAGAGGACUGAUUGCGUGUUAUAGAAACGAUUGAACUCAACCUUCCUAUAUAUAGUGAUUAUUUCUUGUAAGAGAAAUAUUUGUUUCCUUAUACUAGUUGUACUCCUCGUUAAAUAAGUCAAAUCCCAAAGAAAAAUUACUUAUUCCUUAAAUAUGAAUCCUACUGAAGAGGAAAAUAUCCUAAAAAAUCCUUAUUAAAAAAUAAGAAAUAUUUUCUAACUACCUUCACUUUGGCGAGUUUUUUAAUUAAGCAACAAAACAUGAUCCACCGUGUAUCCACACAACUACGUCGUCUUCACCUUUUUUACUCCACCAUAGAUAAAAUCUUGUGAGAAUAACUCCAUUUUGGCUAAUGAGAAUCACUCCAUCAUAGCUAAAAUUUUGUUUCUAUCUAGUAACCAUAAUUCUUUAUACCAAGAAUCAUCAUACUCUACUUUAUCCAGAGUACACAUAUGGGGCAUACGUCGAUCACCUGAUUGAAAGUAGCUACUCUCAGGUUUAGCUUCUUUGAGAAUCUCUAGCCAUCGACAUAAAAAAAUUCUACCACACUUUGCAUAAUGUCAAAUCAUGUCUCGUGUGCAAUCUUGUGGACCCACUAGUAGUAACACAUCCUCUUUCAUGGCAUGCCAAAAGGGAUAAGCCAGUCUCUCAUGGAGAAAAAAAAAAAAAAAACACACCACUAGUUGACAUUAUCAAUAUCUCUAUCUACUGAUUUAAAACUAUUUGGUGAACUUGCUCUAUUAUGACAAUCUUUUUUAAGGUGCCUUGAUCGGCUGUGCACCUUCACAUGUUUCCACCAGUGGGAACGUCGUCCUGCUUUUUAAUGUGUAAUCAAAUUGAACUAAUAUAUCCUUAACUUGAAUUUGCCACAAGUCAAAUUUGAUUUUUCUAUCAAAUUUUUAUAUUCCUACCUCACAGGUUUUGAAAACCUCAUUGCUGACAUAUUUGCAUUGUGUUGCAACCUUAACUCUGAUACCCUUUAAUACUGUUAAAAAAAUUUAAUCUCACUUAAGAUUUUGUAAGCAAAAAAUAUAAAAACAAAUAAUAAAUAGAAAAUAGAUGGAGAAUAAACUUAAUCAUAUAAAACAAGAAUUUAUAUGGAGAACUCCUAUACCGAAGAAAAACCACAGCCGUCAAGGAUGAUAAGAGAAAAAUCCACUAUAUAAAAAAUUAUUAUAAUCACUCCAAUAUUUUAUUGUCACACUCAAAAUCUCAAUAACACCUAGUCUUUGAAUAAAUAUAUCGUUUCUCUCACAUUAGAAAAUUGUUUACUUGUAGAGAACUGACUAUUGUUUUAUAUAAACAAGUGAACUCAAUCUCCUUAGAGCAUCUCCAAAAGAUUAUUUAAAUUUUACUUUUCAAAUUUUAAUUUGCUUACUGAUGUGGCAAAUAAGUGGGUAGAAAAAUACAAUCUCCUCCAAAAGACUCAUCAAAUAAGAGAAGUUAACAUUAUUUUAAUCAAAUCUUUCCCUCUAUUAAAUUUAACUACCCUCCAUUUUUUUCCCUACAACAAAUUUAAUUAACCUCCAAUUAUUCACUCUAAUUAUUUUAAUUACCCUC